GUUGUACUUCCUCCGUCCCAAAAUUCUUGUCUUAGAUUUAUCUAGAUACAGAUGUAUCUAACACUAAAACAUAAAUAGAUACGUCCGUAUGUAGACAAAUCUAAGACAAGAAUUUUGAGAUGGAGGGAGUAGUUA
This is a non-coding RNA of Triticum aestivum (bread wheat), 135 nucleotides long. The record is from Rfam. Lineage: Eukaryota; Viridiplantae; Streptophyta; Magnoliopsida; Poales; Poaceae.